This 83-nucleotide transfer RNA is filed under the name Methanobacteriota archaeon. RNAcentral's name for it is "Euryarchaeota archaeon tRNA-Leu". It matches the Rfam family "tRNA". Rfam says of the family: Transfer RNA (tRNA) molecules are approximately 80 nucleotides in length. Their secondary structure includes four short double-helical elements and three loops (D, anti-codon, and T loops). Lineage: Archaea; Methanobacteriati; Methanobacteriota. RNAcentral also lists the same sequence under 1 other name. The record is from RNAcentral.
GAAGGGGUUGCCGAGUCGGUCAAAGGCGCCGGGCUUAAGAUCCGGUCGGAAUUCGUUCGAGGGUUCGAAUCCCUCCCCCUUCA